GAUGAACGCUGGCGGCGUGCCUAAUACAUGCAAGUCGAGCGAACAGAUGAGGAGCUUGCUCCUCUGACGUUAGCGGCGGACGGGUGAGUAACACGUGGAUAACCUACCUAUAAGACUGGGAUAACUUCGGGAAACCGGAGCUAAUACCGGAUAAUAUAUUGAACCGCAUGGUUCAAUAGUGAAAGACGGUUUUGCUGUCACUUAUAGAUGGAUCCGCGCCGCAUUAGCUAGUUGGUAAGGUAACGGCUUACCAAGGCAACGAUGCGUAGCCGACCUGAGAGGGUGAUCGGCCACACUGGAACUGGGACACGGUCCAGACUCCUACGGGAGGCAGCAGUAGGGAAUCUUCCGCAAUGGGCGAAAGCCUGACGGAGCAAGGCCGCGUGAGUGAUGAAGGCCUUCGGAUCGUAAAACUCUGUUAUUAGGGAAGAACAAAUGUGUAAGUAACUAUGCACGUCUUGACGGUACCUAAUCAGAAAGCCACGGCUAACUACGUG
RNAcentral lists this ribosomal RNA (497 nucleotides) under uncultured bacterium. RNAcentral's name for it is "partial 16S ribosomal RNA". It matches the Rfam family "Bacterial small subunit ribosomal RNA", at positions 28 to 507 of the family's 1533-position model. The record is from RNAcentral.